AACGUAGGACACGAGCGUUAUCCGGAGUUACUGGGCGUAAAGGGCUCGUAGGCGGUUUGUCGCGUCGGGAGUGAAAACACUGGGCUUAACUCAGUGCUUGCUUCCGAUACGGGCAGACUAGAGGUAUGCAGGGGAGAACGGAAUUCCUGGUGUAGCGGUGAAAUGCGCAGAUAUCAGGAGGAACACCGGUGGCGAAGGCGGUUCUCUGGGCAUUACCUGACGCUGAGGAGCGAAAGUGUGGGGAGCGAACAGG
RNAcentral lists this ribosomal RNA (253 nucleotides) under uncultured bacterium. RNAcentral's name for it is "partial 16S ribosomal RNA". It matches the Rfam family "Bacterial small subunit ribosomal RNA", at positions 524 to 776 of the family's 1533-position model. The record is from RNAcentral.